This 534-nucleotide ribosomal RNA is filed under the name Microtus thomasi (Thomas's pine vole). Its description in RNAcentral is "partial 16S ribosomal RNA". It matches the Rfam family "Bacterial large subunit ribosomal RNA", at positions 1850 to 2607 of the family's 2925-position model. Lineage: Eukaryota; Metazoa; Chordata; Mammalia; Rodentia; Cricetidae. The record is from RNAcentral.
GAGGCCUGCCUGCCCAGUGACAAACGUUCAACGGCCGCGGUAUCCUGACCGUGCAAAGGUAGCAUAAUCACUUGUUCCUUAAUUGGGGACUGGAAUGAAUGGCCUCACGAGGAUUCAACUGUCUCUUACCUCUAAUCAGUGAAAUUGACCUCCCCGUGAAGAGGCGGGGAUAUAAUAACAAGACGAGAAGACCCUAUGGAGCUUUAAUUUUCUGUCUUAACUACUAAAUAACUAACCCUACUGGGAUAAAAAAAAAGAGAAAUAAGUCAGUAAUUUCGGUUGGGGUGACCUCGGAGAAUAAGACAACCUCCGAAUGAUUUUAACCAAGACAAACAAGUCAAAGUAUUAAAAAUCAAAUUGACCCAAUUCAUUUGAUCAACGGACCAAGUUACCCUAGGGAUAACAGCGCAAUCCUAUUCAAGAGUCCAUAUCGACAAUUAGGGUUUACGACCUCGAUGUUGGAUCAGGACAUCCCAAUGGUGCAGCAGCUAUUAAUGGUUCGUUUGUUCAACGAUUAAAGUCCUACGUGAUCUG